AGUCCACUUAAGCCCUGCUUAGUGUUGGGAGUCUACGCGAGCGGUGCUACCCGGGACCUACCCGGUGGCUACCCUGUAGUUCCUCAAAGACAGCGGCGGAGUCGUGUUGUCCUCUGAGCUUAGUAAUUACUUCCUAGCUUUCGAGUCAGCACCUCCCUUGCCGUAAAACACCCUUCUUUUGAAUGG
This 186-nucleotide unclassified non-coding RNA is filed under the name uncultured Nectriaceae. RNAcentral describes it as "sequence contains ITS2". Lineage: Eukaryota; Fungi; Ascomycota; Sordariomycetes; Hypocreales; Nectriaceae. The record is from RNAcentral.